UUUGUGAUUAACAAUUCUAAAUUUAAUUUUAUAUUAGAAUUAUGUUAUAAUACUUGCUUAGAGCGAGUAUUAGGUCGGCAAAUAAAGGGAAAAACAUAAAUAGAAUGCUGUGACUCACGAAGCGGCGGAUUUAUUAGAUCAAAACUAACCUGUCCUAGACAGUUAUUUGAUGACUCUGGAUAACUUUACUGAUCGUACGACCUCUGUGUUGACGACGAAUCUCUUGAAAUGGCUGACCUAUCAACUUUCGAUGGUAAGAUCAAAGCUUACCAUGGUUGUAACGGGUAACGGGGAAUCAGUGUUCGAUUCCGGAGAGGGAGCCUGAGAAACGGCUACCACAUCCACGGAAGGCAGCAGGCGCGAAAAUUACCCAAUGCCGGUUCGGCGAGGUAGUGACAAUAAAUAACAAUAUGGACCCUAGUGGUUUCAUAAUUGCAAUGAGAUUAUUUUAAAUACUUUUUCAAGUAUCAAUUGGAGGGCAAGUCUGGUGCCAGCAGCCGCGGUAAUUCCAGCUCCAAAAGCGUAUAUUAAAGUUGUUGCAGUUAAAAAGCUCGUAGUUGAAAUUGAGGUAGAUGUAAUUUGAAAUCUUAUGAUUGAUUAUUACUAUACCUUUUCUUCGUGUAUAUUAGUGAGGGACUUAAUUGUUUUUUACUAGUAACCGAAAUGUUUACUUUGAAAAAAUUAGAGUGCUUAAAGCAGGCUUACGCUUGUAUAUUGUUGCAUGGAAUAAUAAAAUAGGACUUUGGUUUUAUUUUGUUGGUUUUCUUAACUAAAGUAAUGAUUAAAAGAGACUGCCGGGGGCAUAUGUAUGCUGGUGCUAGAGGUGAAAUUCUUAGACCAUCAGCAGACAAACUACUGCGAAAGCAUUUGCCAAGAAUGUUUUCAUUAAUCAAGAACGAAAGUCAGAGGAUCGAAGACGAUCAGAUACCGUCCUAGUUCUGACCAUAAACUAUGCCAACUGACAGUUCGUAAAGAUGAAUUAUGGUUGCAAAGCUGAAACUUAAAGGAAUUGACGGAAGGGCACCACAAGGAGUGGAGCCUGCGGCUUAAUUUGACUCAACACGGGAAAUCUCACCCGGUCCGGACACUGUGAGGAUUGACAGAUUGAUAGCUCUUUCUUGAUUCGGUGGGUGGUGGUGCAUGGCCGUUCUUAGUUGGUGGAGCGAUUUGUCAGGUUAAUUCCGAUAACGAACGAGACUCUGACUUACUAAAUAGUGAAUUUAUAUUCAAUUGUAAAUUCUCACUUCUUAGAAGAAUAAAUAGCGUUUAGCUAUAUGAAAUAGAGCAAUAACAGAUCUGUGAUGCUCUUAGAUGUCCGGGGCCGCACGCGCGCUACAAUGGCAGUACUAACAAGUUUUUCUAACUAGAAAUAGUCGUGUAAUCUCUUGAAACACUGUCAUAUCAGGGAUUGUGAAUUGAAAUUAUUUCACAUGAACGAGGAAUUCCUAGUAAGCGCAAGUCACUAGCUUGCGCUGAUUACGUCCCUGCCCUUUGUACAUACCGCCCGUCGCUACUACCGAUUGAAUGGUUUAGUGAGAUUGUUGGAUUCUGAUCUAAGAAAUGGCAACAUUUCUAUGAAUGGGAAAAGACACUCAAACUUGAUCAUUUAGAGGAAGUAAAAGUCGUAACAAGGUUUCCGUAGGUGAACCUGCGGAAG
Molecule: ribosomal RNA, 1657 nt
Filed under: Schmidtea mediterranea
Lineage: Eukaryota; Metazoa; Platyhelminthes; Tricladida; Dugesiidae
Description: SSU rRNA
Rfam family: Eukaryotic small subunit ribosomal RNA
Source: RNAcentral